ACCAGCUGAUGAGUCCUAAAUAGGAAGAAACGAACGUCCUGGAU
This 44-nucleotide non-coding RNA is filed under the name Schistosoma mattheei. The record is from RNAcentral. Lineage: Eukaryota; Metazoa; Platyhelminthes; Trematoda; Strigeidida; Schistosomatidae.